AACUGAUACUACCUGCGGGAACCUGCGGAAGGAUCAUUACCGAGUUUACAACUCCCAAACCCAUGUGAACAUACCUAUCGUUGCUUCGGCGGGAUCGCCCCGGGCGCCUUGCGUGCCCCGGAUCCAGGCACCCGCCGGGGGACCUUAACUCUUGUUUUAUUUAGAAUCUUCUGAGUAGUUUUUACAAAUAAAUAAAAACUUUCAACAAUGGAUCUCU
RNAcentral lists this unclassified non-coding RNA (217 nucleotides) under soil metagenome. RNAcentral's name for it is "partial contains 5.8S ribosomal RNA, internal transcribed spacer 2, and large subunit ribosomal RNA". The record is from RNAcentral.